RNAcentral lists this ribosomal RNA (245 nucleotides) under uncultured bacterium. RNAcentral describes it as "partial 16S ribosomal RNA". It matches the Rfam family "Bacterial small subunit ribosomal RNA", at positions 524 to 768 of the family's 1533-position model. The record is from RNAcentral.
UACAGAGGUCUCAAGCGUUGUUCGGAUUCAUUGGGCGUAAAGGGUGCGUAGGUGGUGCUGCAAGUCGGAUGUGAAAUCCCGGAGCUUAACUCCUGAACUGCAUUCGAUACUGCGGCGCUCGAGGACUGGAGAGGAGAUCGGAAUUCACGGUGUAGCAGUGAAAUGCGUAGAUAUCGUGAGGAAGACCAGUGGCGAAGGCGGAUCUCUGGACAGUUCCUGACACUGAGGCACGAAGGCCAGGGGAG